CUACGGGUUGCUCCAGUGGGGAAUAUUGGACAAUGGGGGAAACCCUGAUCCAGCAAUGCCGCGUGUGUGAAGAAGGCCUGCGGGUUGUAAAGCACUUUCGGUUGGGAGGACUGCUUCUAGCACUAAUAUUGUUGGAAGUUGACGUUACCUUCAGAAGAAGCACCGGCUAACUCCGUGCCAGCAGCCGCGGUGAAUACGGAGGGUGCAAGCGUUAAUCGGAAUUACUGGGCGUAAAGCGCGCGUAGGCGGCUAGAUCAGUCGGGUGUGAAAGCCCCGGGCUUAACCUGGGAACUGCAUCCGAUACUGUCUAGCUUGAGUACAGGAGAGGGGAGUGGAAUUCCACAUGUAGCGGUGAAAUGCGUAGAUAUGUGGAGGAACACCAAUGGCGAAGGCAGCUCUCUGGCCUGAUACUGACGCUGAGGUGCGAAAGCGUGGGGAGCAAACAGGAUUAGAUACCCCCGUAGUU
RNAcentral lists this ribosomal RNA (466 nucleotides) under uncultured bacterium. RNAcentral describes it as "partial 16S ribosomal RNA". It matches the Rfam family "Bacterial small subunit ribosomal RNA", at positions 339 to 795 of the family's 1533-position model. The record is from RNAcentral.